This is a long non-coding RNA of Brassica napus (rape), 2322 nucleotides long. RefSeq lists it as uncharacterized. The record is from RefSeq and is a predicted model, not a curated record. The transcript is spliced from 7 exons. NCBI's taxonomy places the organism in Eukaryota, Viridiplantae, Streptophyta, Magnoliopsida, Brassicales, Brassicaceae.
CGAUGAUCAACACGACGAUGUUUCAGAGGAGAGUAGUUUGAGAGGGACAGAAUCGGUGAUGGAAGAUACUCAACUCAGCCAUUGCUGCAUCAUUGUAGAAGAUGCCCUAGGGUUUUGCUCUCGGAAUGAUAGAAUACGAUCACGGAUCUGCCUGUCGAGGAACCGAGACAUUGAUUCUGGUGAUCGGAAGAUGUUUCGAUGUAGUCGACCAUUCCGUUCAGACCAGGACCAGUAGAUACAUCCUUGCCAACAGAGUAGUGUUAAUAUUCCCUUAGGCGAUCUGCUGCUCAUUGCAUGAAGUUGUUCAAGGGUUCUGCUCAAGUUACGCUCUGGCGUUAUCCCACAACGUAACGCCAUCACACUCCAGAUGUUCCAAGUGUAGGGACAUUCGAAGAAGAGGUGAUUCCGGCUUUCAGGGGCAGUGUUACAAAGAAGGCAAAGCGGUGAAGUUUGGAGGCCCCAACUGAUUAUUCUGUCCCUGGUUGGGCAGCGGUUGAGCACAAAGAGCCAAGUGAGGAAAUUAUGUCUAGGAAUUCCUCCUUUGUUCCAGACAAUGUUACACCAAGUUACCGCUGGGCCUUGGACACACAGAUGGAUUGUAGUGAGCAGAGCUUGAACCUCAACCUGUCUAUCCGAUCGAGCAGGAGGGAGAAGCCAAGUACUGUUGGAGUGAAGCGAUGCAAGAGUUGCCAUGUCUUGAAUCCCCAGUGAUGAGUUGGUUCUUAACUGGAGAAAGUCUCUCAGGUUGCCAUAAGGAGACCAAUUAUCCGUCCAAAAACGACAGGAGAAGCGCCUGUGGGGAGCUACUGUCCAUAAGUUACUCAGAUCACCUUGUAGAACUUCUUCUCGAGAACCAAGCAACCCAAACAGAACCAGCUUUGGAGAAGAGGAGCCAAAUGAGCUUGAGACAGCAGGCUUUGUUCCAAAGAGAGAGGUCAUUUAUCCUUAAUCCUGCUUCAAUUUUUGGUCUGGUAAUAUGUUCCCAAGAGACUCGUGCGGAGUGAUGGCUCUCAAUGUUUCCUUGCCAGAGAAACACACCACACAAAGAGUUGAUACGCUUGACACACGCCUUGGGUAGGAUAAACGUUGAGCACCAGAAGGAGGCCUUCACAAUUAAGGAGAGUGAGCUUCUUGGUACAUAAUGGCACUCCCAGGUACCGCACAGGCAAGGACCCCAGAGGCAUACCCGUGGAGAAUUGCACCAGAUCGGUCUCUGCUGCUGUUAGACCCGAGGCAAAGAAUGAUGUUUUGUGGACACUCACAGCUAGACCAGAACGUUGUUCGAAAUCCCUGAGGACCUGCAGAACAGCUUGGACCGAGUCCAAAGUUCCAUCAAUGAAUAUCACUUGUUUUAGCAUGAAAGAUAGAUUAUUCAAGGCAAUUACGAAGAGAUAAGGGGAGAGAGGAUCCCCUUGACGCAAGCCUCUAGUCCCUUUGAAGUACCCAUUGACCUCGCCAUUGUAGCCUACUGUGAAACUCGUAGUACAGAUGCAGGCACGGAUCCAGGAGAUGAAGAGCGGCGGGAGAUUUAAUCCCUCGAGACAAGAGAGAAGGAAAGCCCAAGAUAAGUUUGGUUGGGGGCUAUUAACGACGACAAGAUAGGCUUUAGUCUCUUCACCAGUAGCCUAGACACGACCUUAUAGAUAGUGUUUAGGCAGGAGAUGGGCCGGUAAUCUGUUAUCUUCGAUGCUCCUGGAUGCUUCGGGACGAGGGAGAGUAUAGUGGAAUUUGUGGCUAAAGGCAUGAAGGAGGUGAGGAAAAAAUGGCGAACGGAGUUGACAACUUCAGAGCCCAAGAUAUCCCAAGAAGAUUUAUAAAAACCCGAGGUAUUGAAGUCAUGAGAAGGCUCUCAGUAGAGGAGCAUGAGUAGGGGACCAGAGAGUUGAACCAAGCUGGUGAAGAGUUAAUUCCCAUCAUAGGAGUAGGGCAAGGCCCAAGGAUGCUGGUAAAGUGUUGAAUCGCAUGCGAAGACAUGUCGAGUGGAUCUUCUUUGAGCCAAUUGGCUCAAAAAAAACAAUUCGCCGGAUAUUUGAGGCAUUGGUUUUUAACCACUAUGACUAACCAACAAACGUUAUGUCAAGUGCCGAUGCGGCCACCUUGUUCAAAUCCGGGUCUAUCUAGUAAAAAAAAUAACCCAUCCCAAACAUAUUUGCCUAACUAUAUGUACUUUGCGUCGUCUCCUUCCAUUCAUAGAAGGUGUUUGCAAUUUCAUGGGAUAUGGUAAUUGCCACCACUACAGAUUGUUUCUUGUGUUCCAUAAUGAACAGUUUGUUCUUUUAGUUGUUUUCCUAUAAGAUAAAUUGAGAGGGUCACAUACUGUUA